UACGUAGGGGGCAAGCGCUAUCCGGACUUAUUGGGUUUAAAGGGUGCGUAGGUGGCUUUUUAUGUCAUGGGUGAAAGCCCGCAGCUCAACUGCGGAAUUGCCUGUGAUACUGAGGAGCUUGAGUGCGGUUGAGGCAGCUGGAAUUGGUGGUGUAUCGGUGAAAGGCAUAGAUACCACCAGGAACCCCGAUUGCGAAGGCAGGUUGCUAAGCCGUAACUGACACUGAGGCAAGACAUCGUGGAGAGAAAACAGG
RNAcentral lists this ribosomal RNA (253 nucleotides) under uncultured bacterium. RNAcentral describes it as "partial 16S ribosomal RNA". It matches the Rfam family "Bacterial small subunit ribosomal RNA", at positions 524 to 776 of the family's 1533-position model. The record is from RNAcentral.